RNAcentral lists this ribosomal RNA (727 nucleotides) under Pseudomonas sp. RNAcentral describes it as "bacterial SSU rRNA". It matches the Rfam family "Bacterial small subunit ribosomal RNA", at positions 18 to 733 of the family's 1533-position model. The record is from RNAcentral. Lineage: Bacteria; Pseudomonadati; Pseudomonadota; Gammaproteobacteria; Pseudomonadales; Pseudomonadaceae.
CAUGGCUCAGAUUGAACGCUGGCGGCAGGCCUAACACAUGCAAGUCGAGCGGUAGAGAGAAGCUUGCUUCUCUUGAGAGCGGCGGACGGGUGAGUAAUGCCUAGGAAUCUGCCUGGUAGUGGGGGAUAACGUUCGGAAACGGACGCUAAUACCGCAUACGUCCUACGGGAGAAAGCAGGGGACCUUCGGGCCUUGCGCUAUCAGAUGAGCCUAGGUCGGAUUAGCUAGUUGGUGAGGUAAUGGCUCACCAAGGCGACGAUCCGUAACUGGUCUGAGAGGAUGAUCAGUCACACUGGAACUGAGACACGGUCCAGACUCCUACGGGAGGCAGCAGUGGGGAAUAUUGGACAAUGGGCGAAAGCCUGAUCCAGCCAUGCCGCGUGUGUGAAGAAGGUCUUCGGAUUGUAAAGCACUUUAAGUUGGGAGGAAGGGCAGUUACCUAAUACGUGAUUGUUUUGACGUUACCGACAGAAUAAGCACCGGCUAACUCUGUGCCAGCAGCCGCGGUAAUACAGAGGGUGCAAGCGUUAAUCGGAAUUACUGGGCGUAAAGCGCGCGUAGGUGGUUAGUUAAGUUGGAUGUGAAAUCCCCGGGCUCAACCUGGGAACUGCAUUCAAAACUGACUGACUAGAGUAUGGUAGAGGGUGGUGGAAUUUCCCUGUGUAGCGGUGAAAUGCGUAGAUAUAGGAAGGAACCACCCCAGUGGCGAAGGCGACCCCCCCCUGGA